UUCUUAUUGAGAGAGACGGAGGGACUGGCCCUACGAUGUCUCGGCAGCGGACUUAGAACGAAGUGCUGUGCCAAAUCCAGCAGGGAUUACCCUGAGAAAUAAGAA
Molecule: non-coding RNA, 105 nt
Filed under: Priestia koreensis
Lineage: Bacteria; Bacillati; Bacillota; Bacilli; Caryophanales; Bacillaceae
Description: Bacillus koreensis SAM-I sequence
Rfam family: SAM riboswitch aptamer (S box leader)
About the family: The SAM riboswitch is found upstream of a number of genes which code for proteins involved in methionine or cysteine biosynthesis in Gram-positive bacteria.
Source: Rfam by way of RNAcentral